Rhagoletis zephyria (snowberry fruit fly) is the source of this 2608-nucleotide long non-coding RNA. RefSeq lists it as uncharacterized. Lineage: Eukaryota; Metazoa; Arthropoda; Insecta; Diptera; Tephritidae. The record is from RefSeq and is a predicted model, not a curated record.
UUCAGCCUCAUUGCGUAAGUCGAAAAUUAGGCUAAAUUAUACGACUCGACAACAUUGCCAUUGCCUACUGUCGUGCUAAAAUAAGUAAACGACGAAAAUCGUCGAAAACUGUGUAGUGCUGCCAAGUUUUUCCGUUAUAAUACACUAGUCGAGUCGAAAUUUUACACAAUGACAUGAAAUUUUCGAUACGAUUCGACUCUCGAAAAACGACUUGCAUUCGACACGACUCUCACAAUGAGGCUUAUUAUUCAUAAUUGUAAUAAAAAUACCCCAUUAUUGGUGUGAGAAUUGGAGUAAAGUAAACUUCGAAGGACCUGAGUUUGAUCCCGAUGUCCGAGCAACAUCUAAAUUAGAAAGUAUCUUCUAAUAGCGGUCACCCCUCAACAGGGCAAACCUCAGAGUGUACAGGAUGGCUCAUAUACAGCCCAAUUCUUAAUAUUCCCGGGGAGUUUGUUCUCCGGGCCUGAUAGUGUUUUAUUUUUUUAAUCAUAUGCCAUUCCAUUUUGGCAGUGACAUCUCUAUCUCUUGACAGAAAGUUAGUAUCAUAGCUCCACGGAAUGAAAUGUUUUGCUUUACGCUUGCACAACGUUGGGACAUAAUGUAGACUCAUUUCCAAACGCAGGCCGCGAAUAUUAGGUUAGCCUGUUAGCAACAAGAUAUUUCACGCACCAGCCUAAUGCGAAUUUUGCGCAUUAUUCGCUGACAAGGUACAAUUGAAUCAGUAAUAAGAGGCACACAACCAACCGCUUCGUUAUAACUGCCACAUCUGGGGAAAGGAAAAAACGCACGUGAUCGUCGAGAAGCCAUUGAAUCCUCGGCGGGUAACAGUUUGAUGCAGAUUUGUUGAGGACAUGGACUUGGACUCAAUUGGCUACCAAGAUCUUGGAAAACUGGGUUAACAAAGGGAAAGAAAGGUCCCCAUUUGUGCUAAAACAUCAAGACGCACACCACAAAUUGGAGGAGAAUCUCGGCCAAACACUUAGUAAAAGUAUAAGUGCCAAAUUAGUACAUGAUUAUUAUAACUAAUUUUAUUUUAUUAUAACUCGAUACAGUUUAAGGGCCGUUUGUGCAAUAUCUGGUUAUCACUACUUCCCAGUUAAAAAUCAUUAUCGACGCUUUAACGAGAACGUUCUGGACGUUAUGUCACAGGUAUUUUUUAAUGCCCACAUUUUUCAUUAAAAUUUGUGUAAUUUAAUGCCUAGUGAAAAUCCGGCAUUACUUUGCUGUGUCGUAGACAAGAAACACAGCGGUUAUUUUUUGGUAUGCGUGAUACAAAAGCCAUAUAUUUUAAAGCAGCAGUUCUUUCGAGUUAAAAUGGGUAAGAUUAUUAUAUUAUUAUUGGAUUGUAUGUCUUGCUCUAAACACUGUGAGGAGUGAGGACGUAGAGGGUAGUUUCCAAAGGAAAUUUUUCUUUUACUUCGAAUGUAUAAUUAUCAUAGUUUGCUUAAGCCUACUACAAGGGCGGUAGCGAGCAUUCACUAGUAAUAUAGACGGGGUUCCCUAGUAAUAUAGUAAUACGGAUAAAUAUUAGAAAAAGGGAAGCUUCACUUCAGCAGCGUUUGGGAUCGAUCCACACACAACUUUUUCUUUGCACUCAAAUUAUUAAGACUUUUAAUUAUAUUUAUAUUUACAUGUUUCCAAGGAAGGUAGAUAACAAAGAAGAUAUAAAAGCUAAGGUUUUCAUAAAAUUCAUAAUUAAGUUCUGGCCCAGAACAUAGGGAUUUUUUUUAAAUGUAAAAUAUUUGAAAGCAUUGGAUCAUGCAAUUUACAAAAUAUAUUUGCUAAAAUAAUACGAUCUUUCUUAAACUCUUCGUGUCUGGCUUACUGUUUUGGAACUAUGCAAGGCUUUAUGUAUUUAAUUUUGAUUCAUCGGUGGAAAAUAACAUUUGCUAAAUUCGAAACCGAUCAUUUUUCGCAAGUUUUUGCUCACCGCAGACGUUGUUAAUUCAUUCUGGGAAUGAGUAUUGAGUCUUGUAAUGGGCGUUGCACUUGAAAUCCCAUGUUAUUGAAGAUUGUCUGCUUGAAUGGAUCGGGAAUUUUAUUUUAUUUCAGAUGCAGCGCAGAAGUUAGGGCUUGUUUGAGGUUCGCAAUAAAAGCAGCAACACUGCAGCACUGAUUAAAGUUUGCAACACUGUUGCAACUGCUCAAGUGAUAAAACUUUGCUAGAAAUGCACACAAAACAUUAAAGUAUCACGCGAAAAUGCGCUUGAGAUUGCCACUCGAACAAGUCCAUACAGUUUACAAUUCCAAUAUGUUGGAAACGGUCAGAUAUAACUAUCCAUUUAAUUUAGUGCCUGUAACGAUUUGAAGAAUCUCUCUGUCGACCGGGGGUUUCCGUAAUAAACUUUUAAAAUUCAUGUAAUUCCCUAUCCAAGCUUGCCACUUUAACAUACUAUUUUUAUUCAAAGCCAUAAUUUUCGGUUUCUUUUUAAGAACUUUGUUCAACUCACUCAUAUAAAAUUAAACAAAAAAUCGAAGCGUCUGCUUACAAUGAUAAAACAAUCCAGAAAUUUAGGUAAUUAUUUUGAAAUAUAAAAGAGAAAAUGUAAGAUUUGCAAGUAGGUGGAUUUUUUUUUUUUUUUUGUCGACGAGUGUAGGUGAUACAGAA